This is a long non-coding RNA of Serinus canaria (Common canary), 2011 nucleotides long. RefSeq lists it as uncharacterized. The transcript is spliced from 2 exons. The record is from RefSeq and is a predicted model, not a curated record. Lineage: Eukaryota; Metazoa; Chordata; Aves; Passeriformes; Fringillidae.
UAAAUAUAUGUAAGUAAAAUGAAGAGAUGACUAUAGUAUAUAAAUAACAUUAUCGGGCCAGAUAAAUAUAAAUAUACAUGUGAAUAUAAAUAUGAAAAUAUAAUUUAAAAAAAUGAAAUACAGUUGAAAUUAAAGGGGUUCUUUUUUGCUUUUAUUUGGGUAGAGGCAGGGAAUUUAUUUAAAGAAUAUAAGUGUUACAGAAGUAAAAAUCCUAAAACAGAACUAUAUAAUCAAUAUGGAAAAAUAUUGUAUAAAAAUAUAUAAAUAAAUCUAAGUAAUAGGAAAAGAUGUAACAUAGAAUAUAAAUUUAUUAUAAAUAAAAAUGUAUAGCUAAACAUUAUACAUCAAUAUACAUUAUAAAUAUACUUGUGAAUAUAAAUAUUAAAAAAAUUUAAAAAUUUAAAUAUUUAAAUAUUUUUUUAAAUAAAUUGUUGGGGGUUUUUUUAGAUCCUAUUGGGUUAGAGACAGGUUUGGUUUUUUUUUUUCCUUCCGGGUUGUUUUUUGGCAUUUAUUUUAGAGGAGUUGUGUUCUCUUUCUCUGCCUUCCAUGGAUGCAGCCUCAAGGUGCGCGGCAGCCCCUGGCUGGGGUCGACGGCAGUGCUGCCGCCUUGUGGGCAGAGCGCGGUACUGCAGUCCUCCACCGACAGGCAGCCGCGCCGCCGCCAUGUUGGGAGUGGUGUGUCACGGAUGUCAAGGAGUCGCCUGACCUUCUCAAGUUGGUGGCAAAAAGGGUGGGAAAAUUGAAGACAAACACCCCCCCCCCCCCCCCCCAACCCGGUCCGUCUAACCGGAUUGCCUGGACGGCACCCCGAGGCAGGCAUCGGCGAAAACGCCUCUCAGCCAGGGUCCUCUCGUCCGCUUUCCCGCCCUUGGCGAGCCGAGCCGCAACGAAUUCUUCUGAAGUGCCGAAUCUUGAUGACUGUAGCCGAAAAUAGCCAAGUUCGGCUGACGAGCUGAUAAUAGCCAAGAGUAGACAAAAAAAGCCGAGUUUAGCCGAGGAGCCGGAAAUUACCGAAAAUAGCCGAGUUAUACCGAAGAGCCGAAACAUGCCGAAAAUAGCUGAGUUAGGCCGAAGAGCCGAUGACAGCCGAGUGUAGCCGAAAAUAGCCAAGUGUAUCUAACAUUAGCGAGUUUAGACGAAGAGCUGAAUAUGACCUAGUUUAAUCGAACUGUGCUGAGGUCAGCCGAAGAGCCGAACCAAGCCGAAUUUAGCCGAGUUUAAUGGAACAGAACCGAACGACGCCGCCUUCGGCCGAAUUGAACGAGCUCAGCCGAAACAAGGCGAGACCAGCAGAACCAUACGACCGUACAAGAUGGCGGCACCCUGGCUGUCACUUGGUGCAGUACAAGACAGUGGCACCUGGGCCGUUCGGGGUGCUGUACAAGAUGGCGGCGCUUCGUAUUAACUUGGUGCUCGUACAAGAAGGUGGCAUCUGGCUGUCACGGGGUUCUGUACAAGAUGGUGGCGCUCGGACCAUUACGGGGGGCCCUAUAGAAUGGCGGCACCCUGCUCAUCCCGGGGUGCCGUACAAGAUGGCGACGGCCGCCCGCAUCACGUGACGCCGGACGAAGAUGGCGGCUUUCAAGGCCGGGAAUUUUUCGAUUUGUGGCGCUUUUUGCAUGCCUUCCACGGGUCCCCAGUGGCAGUGAUGGCAUUUCGGUUUGUCUGCAGCGGGCGGCGUCACGGGAAAUUAUUCCUAGGCCCAGGUGUUGGUGUCGGCAUUUUGAUCAGGCAGCUGUCAUAUCGGCUACGCCUUGGGGUCCUUCUCGAAGUACUCGGGGCGUGGCCGGGGCGGGACGCCGUAUCGACGCGGUGAUGUCAUUGGGCGGUGCUAUGCCUGCAGUGCGCCGGGGCGGACGGUAGGCGGCACUGUGUGGGCUUCUCAGGAGAUGGGUCCGGGGUGGGACGCAGUUGCGGUGGCGAGGUUUUUGUGAGGGGUGCGCUUGGUGGUGACUGAUAGCUGUGGUGAUAGAUUGCUGGUUUAUGCAAUUACAUAAUCAUGAUGCAAUUA